Long non-coding RNA from Alosa sapidissima (American shad), 402 nucleotides. RefSeq lists it as uncharacterized. The record is from RefSeq and is a predicted model, not a curated record. Lineage: Eukaryota; Metazoa; Chordata; Actinopteri; Clupeiformes; Clupeidae. The transcript has 4 exons.
AACCGUGCUGUACCAGUUGCCACUGCCCAAGCUCUCUCUCUGUGUUCGAAAAGCCACUGUGUGGGAAAGUUCAAACCAGUAGGCUAUUGAUUCUUCUGCUUCAUUUUUUGGAUAGUCUGACAUAAUAAAAGACAAGUGUCACUGUAGUAACCUGUUGCAGCUUCUGGUUCUCAUCAGCCACCUUGAGGCUAUAGUGUUGCUGUUUCACCCUCCCUGGAAAAGGAUGUUCUGACAUACCUGCCGCUGACCUGUAGCUAUGGUAGCCACGCUCUUGUUCCCCUCGACCACCUUGAGGCUGUAGUGUUGCUACUUCACCCUCACUGACUAAGGAGAAACACCCAACUCGUCUAGAGAGGUACACACAACUUACUUCAGCAGCCCUCAAAAAGAAGUCAUCCAAUG